Molecule: long non-coding RNA, 598 nt
Organism: Vigna angularis (adzuki bean)
Lineage: Eukaryota; Viridiplantae; Streptophyta; Magnoliopsida; Fabales; Fabaceae
Exons: 3
Source: RefSeq, a predicted model, not a curated record
UACUUUUACCAUUUAACUUUUAACUUUUUUUCAAAACCCUAAAUCCUUUUUCUUUUUACGCUUCCCCGCCGCACCCAUUCUUCCACCCCACAUAUAUGAGAGGUGUGUUCGGUUGCUGAGGUGUGUUUGGUUGCUGAGAGAUGCGUUGAUUGGUUUCGUGGACACCAGGUUAAAGAAGACAAAGGGUCACAGAGAAUGUUACGUUGCACGCAUCACAAAGAUAAUUGAUUUACCGUUUGUUUAACGUGAACAACGAAUGAAUACGUAGCAGUGUUAGAAUAGAAUGUGAACAGACUUGCAACGUAUUAUAUAUGUUCACUGCAUAUUGAACUCUUAGUUCUACAUAACCCAUCACGAUAACAGAGCAAAGAAGUUUGUCCAAUUCUCAAAAGCUAAUGGAUACAAAAGAGUUGGAUAAGAUGCUUUUGAAAUUGGCUAUAGAGAAAAAGUGGCAGAGAUGUCCCAGUGCACCGUCUUUGUCGAAAAUACUGGUGGAUGUGAACACAUUGCAUGCAGGUGUGGAUGCGACUUCUGUUACAUUUGUGGGAAGAGAUGGGUGUUUGGUCAUACAUGUAGCAACAGUUAAUAAAUAAAAGAG